AAACUUAAAUUAUUUAUCGUAGAGAAGAAAAAUGUUAUAUUUGAGUCAAAUAUCGAACAAGGAGAAGGAGGAGGAGCAAAGAAAAAUGGUGAACAGGAAUGUAAGAUGUUGGAGCCAAUAGAAACGGAAGAUGACAGUAGGCCUAUUGCAGUUCGCGAAGGUCUCCAGGAUAAUGUUCGUUCGGCAUGCUAUAAAGGUUACCAUGCGAAUAUGUAAACUCGAUUACCGUGAUGUCGUGGAUUCACGUAAGGCGGCGACAGGUGUGUGUUCCUUCUGAAUUUUUCAAUAAAACAAAAAGAAAAAGAAAAGAAAAUUGAAAUAAAAAUAUAUACAUGCAACUCUACGAAUUGAUUGAGGAAGAAACGAUUUUCUUGUUGUUCUCGUUGUUGUUGUUGCUGCUGAUGCUGUUAUUGUUGCUAUUGUUACUGUUGUUGGUUUUAAUAAAGUUUAGACAUUUGUGCCGCA
This 465-nucleotide long non-coding RNA is filed under the name Polistes fuscatus (common paper wasp). Its description in RNAcentral is "uncharacterized LOC122525620". The record is from RNAcentral. Lineage: Eukaryota; Metazoa; Arthropoda; Insecta; Hymenoptera; Vespidae.